RNAcentral lists this ribosomal RNA (410 nucleotides) under bacterium. RNAcentral describes it as "partial 16S ribosomal RNA". It matches the Rfam family "Bacterial small subunit ribosomal RNA", at positions 355 to 776 of the family's 1533-position model. The record is from RNAcentral.
UGGGGAAUUUUGCACAAUGGGCGGAAGCCUGAUGCAGCGACGCCGUGUGGGGGAUGAAGGCCUUCGGGUUGUAAACUCCUUUCGUCAGGGACGAAGUUUGUUUGACGGUACCCGGAUAAGAAGCACCGGCUAACUACGUGCCAGCAGCCGCGGUAAUACGUAGGGUGCGAGCGUUGUCCGGAUUUACUGGGCGUAAAGGGCUCGUAGGUGGUGUGUUGCGUCGUCUGUGUAAUCCAGGGGCUUAACUUUUGGUUGGCAGGCGAUACGGGCAUUGCUUGAGUGCUGUAGGGGAGACUGGAAUUCCUGGUGUAGCGGUGAAAUGCGCAGAUAUCAGGAGGAACACCGAUGGCGAAGGCAGGUCUCUGGGCAGUUACUGACGCUGAGGAGCGAGAGCAUGGGUAGCGAACAGG